RNAcentral lists this ribosomal RNA (461 nucleotides) under uncultured bacterium. RNAcentral describes it as "partial 16S ribosomal RNA". It matches the Rfam family "Bacterial small subunit ribosomal RNA", at positions 338 to 795 of the family's 1533-position model. The record is from RNAcentral.
CCUACGGGUGGCAGCAGUGAGGAAUAUUGGUCAAUGGCCGAGAGGCUGAACCAGCCAAGUCGCGUGAGGGAAGAAUGUCCUAUGGAUUGUAAACCUCUUUUGUCAGGGAGCAAAGUCACCCACGUGUGGGUGUUGGAGAGUACCUGAAGAAAAAGCAUCGGCUAACUCCGUGCCAGCAGCCGCGGUAAUACGGAGGAUGCGAGCGUUAUCCGGAUUUAUUGGGUUUAAAGGGUGCGUAGGCUGUGAGGUAAGUCAGCGGUGAAAUGCCCCCGCUCAACGGGGUGAAGUGCCAUUGAUACUGCCUUGCUGGAAUGCGGAUGCCGUGGGAGGAAUGUGUGGUGUAGCGGUGAAAUGCAUAGAUAUCACACAGAACACCGAUUGCGAAGGCAUCUCACGAAUCCGCGAUUGACGCUGAUGCACGAAAGCGUGGGUAUCAAACAGGAUUAGAUACCCGAGUAGUC